Molecule: ribosomal RNA, 274 nt
Filed under: uncultured bacterium
Lineage: Bacteria
Description: partial 16S ribosomal RNA
Rfam family: Bacterial small subunit ribosomal RNA
Source: RNAcentral
AUACGGAGGGUGCAAGCGUUACUCGGAAUCACUGGGCGUAAAGCGCGCGCAGGCGGCUUGAUAAGUUGGAUGUGAAAGCCUACGACUCAACCGUAGAACUGCAUCCAAAACUGUCAAGCUAGAGUCUGGGAGGGGAAGAUGGAAUUAGUUGUGUAGGGGUAAAAUCCGUAGAGAUAACUAGGAAUACCAAAAGCGAAGGCGAUCUUCUGGAACAGUACUGACGCUGAGGCGUGAAAGCGUGGGGAGCAAACAGGAUUAGAAACCCCGGUAGUCC